This 504-nucleotide unclassified non-coding RNA is filed under the name Hevea brasiliensis (rubber tree). The record is from RNAcentral. Lineage: Eukaryota; Viridiplantae; Streptophyta; Magnoliopsida; Malpighiales; Euphorbiaceae.
UUUUAAUUCGUGUUUUGAAUGGCUUACCACUUUCUUGUGUUGGCUGAUAAUUACUAAUUUACUUAGCAUAAACAUAGUAUGAAUGUUAUAGAUGUAGUGUUUUUAUGCAUCAGAUUUUAUUCUUAGCUAGAAAGGACUCAUGUAUAAGCCAUACUAUGCAGUCCUUAUCUUUUCUUCACUGUUAGCUAGAAUUAUGAUUCGAUUCAAUUCAAUUCUUUAUCCAAGUGAUUCGAAUCUAUGAGUGAAUCACAAAUGUACUUGAAUCGUGACCAAAAUAAAUUGGGUGAAUCUAUAUAAAUCAAUCCGAAUCAAUUAUUUUUAUAAAGGUUAUUAAUUUAAGAUUAAAGUUCAACUAGUUUGGAAUUAAGGGUUAGUUGCUGUUGUGAUUGUUACUUAAUUAUAGUAUAUUAAUAUAUUUUGGCCUUUUAAUUUAACUCACUAUCUUUUUUUAUUAUUUAAUUAUCUGAUGAAAUUUAAAUUGGAGUUUCAACACAUGCACAAUGA